Molecule: long non-coding RNA, 1419 nt
Organism: Hipposideros armiger (great roundleaf bat)
Lineage: Eukaryota; Metazoa; Chordata; Mammalia; Chiroptera; Hipposideridae
Exons: 4
Source: RefSeq, a predicted model, not a curated record
CCCUUGCACUCUUGCCAGUGUCCAGCUGUUCAUCUCCGGAGCGUCCUGCGGCUCCACAGGGCUGCCCAGGAGAGGGAGCGCCCUGCUGUCCACUUGCCUGGCGCCUCCGGUCAGCUCCAGCUGGGCCUUUCGGGGGCGUGCAGGCCCAGGAGGGGCGGGUCCCCACCCGGUUGUUCAAAUGUACUGAGGGGCUGACGCAGGGAAGCUAGGAGGCAGCAGGGUGAGGGCUCUGUGGAGGGGGUGCUGCAGGCACUUUUGAGAGGUAGACUUGGCAGCAGGUCGGUGAGGCCACCCAGGUGGCACCCCACUCCCUCCUCCCCCCCCAAUCUGCCCAGGGCCCCCUGCUGACCUAUGGAACCAGGAAUUCCCUUCUCCCAGCUCUAAUGGCAAGCAGAUGCUGCAAGUGGAAAAUCACCGCUUGCCUGGGCCGAGCAGGGAGUUGGCGGCUGUGCUGCCUGGUGUGUGCGCGCUAGGCGGGAGGACUAAUGAGAGGUGCUUGUCAAUGGGAAAGCCACUCUUCGCCUGGGUUUGCUGCUGUUCUGUUGCCACCAGGUGUCCCCAAGCUGGAGGUUGGGCUCCCCGCAGGACCGGUAGAGACAGCCCAGCUGGCAUGGGGGGCUUCCGUGGCCGCUUCCCAUCUCGGUAGUCCUGAGCCUCAGUUUCCUCACCUGUCAGGUGGGGGGGACAAUGACUGCAGAGGGGCAGUGAGGAAGGGAUCAGAUCCUGGUGGAAAAGCGCUCGUGUACCUCAGAGGGCUCUGCCCAGGCCCAGCAUCAUUGAUUCACUCCCUCUGUCCAGCCACGAGGCUCAGGGCUCAGUCCCCAGGUGACCUGUCCAGUGCUGGCCUACUCGGACACUGAGACACAGUCCCUGCACUGCCCACUUUCACACUCUACAUCACACUCUGAACAGCCACCACCCUGCCAUCAGGUGCCCCUCCCUAAAGAAAGGAACUUGAUUUUUAAUUGUCCCCUGCCAUGGGCCUCAUAGGUGCACCACCCCAGGCAUACACCACCCCAUACACCACCCCAGGCAACCUCAGGCCAGGACCUUUCCCUGCUGGGGGCUCUGGGCAGGGCUGUUUCCCGCCAGGGCCCUUCUGUGGGCCACAGCUGCUCCCUGGGUGACGGGUGUGCCCCCCUGAGUCAGCCGGGCCCCAGAACCUUGCUCAGACCUCUCAUAGUGCAGACACUCCUAGAGCACCUGCUGGGCUCCAGGCUGAUGAAUGGGACAGACAAGGCGUCUGCCCCCAGGGAGCUGAUGGCAAGCCAGGAAGCAGACCAGAAUCAGAUGAUCCAAACACAGCUAGGCUGGACCAUCUGUGAUGGAAGGUGCAUCUUGGGAACCUCUGCAGAAGCCUACAUUUUCCUCUGUCCCACAUUCUAGUUGUGGAGGACGUUGCUUCACUGGCCCAAGUUG